This is a non-coding RNA of Scophthalmus maximus (turbot), 486 nucleotides long. Lineage: Eukaryota; Metazoa; Chordata; Actinopteri; Pleuronectiformes; Scophthalmidae. The record is from the annotation of a RefSeq genome assembly.
UGGAGGCACCAGUUGUAUCUCCAUCACUAACAAUCAUUACAGGAUGAGAGAUCCCAGCGACUUGCAUCUGCAAAAAUCUGUCACAUGUUAAGGUUUUUUCAAAUAUUCCUUUUAUCUUGAGGAAGAAUGCUCAUCGUUCUGCUCUUCUCUUGUCUGGCAGGCGUUUGUCUGGGUCUUGAAGUCCGUCAGUCUCCUUCUGAGGUCUUCGCAAAACCUGGCGACACGUUGCAGAUCAUCUGCAGCCACGACAAAACCGACUACAGGCAGAUGUUCUGGUACCAGCGCUCGCCGGGAGGAGACACGGCCAUGAAGCUCGUCGGAUAUUUGUACUUCAAAGACGUAACGAUGGAAGCGCCAUACGACAAGGACUUUAACAUCUCUGGGGAUUUGGGAGGAAACACGGCAAAGAAAGGCUCUCUGUUGAUGAAAUCUGUGGGACGAGGGCACAGUGCCGUUUACUACUGUGCAGCCAGUGAAGCACGGUGA